UACGAAGGGGGCUAGCGUUGUUCGGAAUUACUGGGCGUAAAGGGCGCGUAGGCGGUGGGAUAAAUCAGAUGUGAAAGCCCUGGGCUCAACCCGGGAAUAGCAUUUGAGACUGUCCUUCUUGAAUUCGGAAGAGGUAAGUGGAAUUCCCAGUGUAGAGGUGAAAUUCGUAGAUAUUGGGAAGAACACCCGUGGCGAAGGCGGCUUACUGGACCGACAUUGACGCUGAGGCGCGAAAGCGUGGGGAGCAAACAGG
This 253-nucleotide ribosomal RNA is filed under the name uncultured bacterium. RNAcentral describes it as "partial 16S ribosomal RNA". It matches the Rfam family "Bacterial small subunit ribosomal RNA", at positions 524 to 776 of the family's 1533-position model. The record is from RNAcentral.